GAUGAACGCUGGCGGCGUGCCUAAUACAUGCAAGUCGAGCGAACAGACGAGGAGCUUGCUCCUCUGACGUUAGCGGCGGACGGGUGAGUAACACGUGGAUAACCUACCUAUAAGACUGGGAUAACUUCGGGAAACCGGAGCUAAUACCGGAUAAUAUAUUGAACCGCAUGGUUCAAUAGUGAAAGACGGUUUUGCUGUCACUUAUAGAUGGAUCCGCGCCGCAUUAGCUAGUUGGUAAGGUAACGGCUUACCAAGGCAACGAUGCGUAGCCGACCUGAGAGGGUGAUCGGCCACACUGGAACUGAGACGCGGUCCAGACUCCUACGGGAGGCAGCGGUAGGGAAUCUUCCGCAAUGGGCGAAAGCCUGACGGAGCAACGCCGCGUGAGUGGUGAAGGUCUUCGGAUCGUAAAACUCUGUUAUUAGGGAAGAACAAAUGUGUAAGUAACUAUGCACGUCUUGACGGUACCUAAUCAGAAAGCCACGGCUAACUCCGUG
RNAcentral lists this ribosomal RNA (497 nucleotides) under uncultured bacterium. Its description in RNAcentral is "partial 16S ribosomal RNA". It matches the Rfam family "Bacterial small subunit ribosomal RNA", at positions 28 to 507 of the family's 1533-position model. The record is from RNAcentral.